Non-coding RNA from Podarcis lilfordi (Lilford's wall lizard), 74 nucleotides. The record is from the annotation of a GenBank genome assembly. NCBI's taxonomy places the organism in Eukaryota, Metazoa, Chordata, Lepidosauria, Squamata, Lacertidae.
GUUUGGAUAGUUCAGUUAGUUAGAGUGUGAUGUUGAUGAUGCCAAGGUUGCAGGUUCAAUCCCCGUAUAGGACA